AAAAGAAGAAAGAAGAUCAACUUUGAUGGUGCGAGACAGAAACAAAAUUCGGAAUAUACAGUUCUAAGAGAAAGAAAGAAAGAAGAAAAAAAGAACAGUCAAUUGAUUAGACCUUCCAUGAGGCGUCUCCAAAGAACAAACAAAAUCAGUUAAAACCAAACUAUCAUCUCAUCAUGGCCUCCCCCUUUCCCUUUCCGUGCACUCAUCAUACCGGCAGCAGCAAACAAGACAAAUCCCAACAGCAACUAACCGGUCAAACAAGAGUCAAAUUACCCACAAGAUCUCCCCAGCUCGCCGCUCCACCCUUGCGGCGCCGCCGUCGUCUUCCGCCCCAGCGACGACCUCGUCCUCGCCGCCAUGGCGUCCUUCGCCGCCGCGUCCUUCUUGUCCUUGAAGAACCCGAACACCGGCCGCGAGCACACCGGCACGUUCAGCACCACCGGCGCCACGCGGACGCCGGAGGAGUAUGACCGGUCGACGGCGCGGGAGCGUGGCUUCGCCGCGGCGUGGAGGGUGCACGGUGAGCUGGAGCUGCGCUCCAGGCCCUGGAACACGAUCUUGCCGGAGGAGUUCAUGCGCGGGGAGUCGACGGAGAGGCAGCGCGGCGGCGGCGGCGGGGAGGGGCGGCGGCGCGCGGGGCUUCGGCCGGCGCGGGAUGAGGAGGAUGAGGAGGUGGAGUGGCGGUGGGAGGAACGGACGAGGCGGAUGCGGGGCGGGUUGGGGUCAGCGGCGGAGUCGAGGGAGAGGCGCGGGAUGUCGUCGUGGUCGUGGCCGGAGGAAGACGACGACGACGAGAGGGAGAAGCGGGAGGAGGCGAGGGAGAGAGACGCCUCCGAGUCGGAGCUGUCGCGGAGGAGCGGCGCAGAGGCGAGCUCCGACGCGGAGGCCCCGGACGAGCGGCCGUUGUUCCGUUGGAGCAGCAGCUUCAGCGACCUCGCCGCCGUCGAGUUCAUCGCUCUCCCGGGGGUUCUCGCGGGCGCAGACGACGGCGAUGGCUUCGGGCUCUGCGCUGCCGCUCUCUUCAGCCCGAGCAACUCCCGCCACCGGCUCGAGCAGCUGGGCGCCUUAGGAGAGAAAACGUACGGGUCGGCGGCGUCAACCGCGGCGGUAGCCGCCCGUAGUGGCUUCAUCGGCUCCGAAGGCGCCGGCAUUGCCUCAGGCUGCGGCGGCCGUGGCGCCGCCGCAUCCAUCUCCGGCACAGCCGCCGCCUUCCGAAGCGGGAGCAGCUUCCCGUCGGCAAAGAGCUCGUCCGCCGGGAGCAUGGUGGCGGAGCCCCCGAGGCUGAACUCGAAGUCGAUGAAGUCCUUGGAUAUCGCCGGCUCCGGCGUCGUCGUCGUCGCCACCGCCGCCGCGGCGGCCAGGGGCGAAGAACACACGACCACCGCGGCAGCCUCCUCAGCCCCGGCGGCGUCGCGGCUGAACGAGACACGCGGACCAUGCCAUCCACCGAACGGCAUGACAGCCGCGGGCGCAGCUGCAGGCAAGUUACUCGCGACGGCGGAGGCCAUGGCAGGCGGCGGCUAAGCGCAUCAACGGUAAGCAGCGCGACAAGAAGAAGUAUAUCUCGUGGUACCCGAUCUCACUAGACUGCCGGUACGGUACUAAUCACACACACUGGUUUUUAUGGGUGUCACUAGAUAGGGCUAAGGUGUGAGGCGGGGUAAAGGCGCGUAUAUAUAAGCUGGGUAAAGGUAGUAAAAUCUCGAAAUGUUUUUCGAUCUGGCGGCGACCGACCGAGGAGGUGAGGGUCUCCCGGUUCGCGGAAGCGCGCGGCAACGCAAAAACAAGUCCGGCCUUUGGGCGUUGCCGUUCCAGGUGAGCGCAGAGGCAAAGUGUGUUCGUCGGUUUCCGUGGAUUUAUUUUUGCAACGGCGCCACCGGCCGGAUCGGUACAGCUACGGACAGGCGAGAUACAGAGGGGAAACCGUGGGGGAUGUGCAAUGGUUUUUUGAGAUGUGUUUCUUCCUUCCCAGUUGCUACUCGGAUCACCGUGGAAUCUGUUUGUGGCUAGUAGGAGGAUAUGUGUUAGAAAUUAGAAUCUCCUGGUUCUGGUCUAAUCAAUUGUUACGUUUUCUACAUCGAAAAAUAUGGGAUAGUUGGCUAGUGGCUAUAUCGGUUCGAUGUUGUACGUUCCUAGUUUACUUUUUACGAUACGAUGGGUGUAACGCGCAAAAAUGUAUUUUAUAUGAAAUCAAUAGAUCAACAAUGUAGAGUGUUGAAAGCAAA
This 2225-nucleotide long non-coding RNA is filed under the name Oryza sativa tropical japonica subgroup. RNAcentral's name for it is "lncRNA OsAzu_06g0026150". The record is from RNAcentral. Lineage: Eukaryota; Viridiplantae; Streptophyta; Magnoliopsida; Poales; Poaceae.